RNAcentral lists this ribosomal RNA (460 nucleotides) under uncultured bacterium. RNAcentral describes it as "partial 16S ribosomal RNA". It matches the Rfam family "Bacterial small subunit ribosomal RNA", at positions 338 to 795 of the family's 1533-position model. The record is from RNAcentral.
CCUACGGGAGGCAGCAGUGAGGAAUAUUGGUCAAUGGACGCAAGUCUGAACCAGCCAUGCCGCGUGCAGGAAGACGGCUCUAUGUGUUGUAAACUUCUUUUGUCCGAGGGUAAACGCAUAUACGCGUAUCUGUCUGAAAGUAUCUUACGAAUAAGGAUCGGCUAACUCCGUGCCAGCAGCCGCGGUAAUACGGAGGAUUCAAGCGUUAUCCGGAUUUAUUGGGUUUAAAGGGUGCGUAGGCGGUCGGUUAAGUUAGAGGUGAAAGCCCGAGGCUCAACUUCGGAAUUGCCUUUGAUACUGGUCGGCUAGAGAGUAGGUGCGGUAGGCGGAAUGUGUGGUGUAGCGGUGAAAUGCUUAGAGAUCAUACAGAACACCGAUUGCGAAGGCAGCUUACCAAGCUACUUCUGACGUUGAGGCACGAAAGCGUGGGGAGCAAACAGGAUUAGAGACCCGAGUAGUC